GACGAACGCUGGCGGCGUGCUUAACACAUGCAAGUCGAACGGAAAGGCCCUGCUUGCAGGGUACUCGAGUGGCGAACGGGCGAGUAACACGUGGGUGCUCUGCCCUGCACUUCGGGAUAAGCCUGGGAAACUGGGUCUAAUACCGGAUAUGAGCCAUUUUUAGUGUGAUGGUUGGAAAGUUUUUUCGGUGUAGGAUGAGCUCGCGGGCUAUCAGCUUGUUGGUGGGGUAAUGGGCUACCAAGGCGGCGACGGGUAGCCGGACUGCGAGGGUGGACGGCCCCCUUGGGACUGAGGGACGGCCCAGGAGCCUACGGGAGGCAGCAGGGGGGAAGAUUGAACAAUGGGCGCCAGCCUGAUGCAGCGACGCCGCGUGGGGGAUGACGGCCUUCGGGUUGUAAACACCUUUCGCUAGGGACGAAGCUUUUUGUGACGGUACCUAGAUAAGAAGCACCGGCUAACUACGUG
This 465-nucleotide ribosomal RNA is filed under the name uncultured bacterium. Its description in RNAcentral is "partial 16S ribosomal RNA". It matches the Rfam family "Bacterial small subunit ribosomal RNA", at positions 28 to 507 of the family's 1533-position model. The record is from RNAcentral.